UUGGUGUUGGCCUGGUAGUUGCGCUGGCCUUCCAUCAGCCCGACCAGUUGCUGGGUCAGGUCGACGUUGGAGCUUUCCAGCGCGCCGGC
This 89-nucleotide transfer RNA is filed under the name Zestomonas carbonaria. RNAcentral describes it as "Pseudomonas sp. Wesi-4 tRNA-Trp". The record is from RNAcentral. Lineage: Bacteria; Pseudomonadati; Pseudomonadota; Gammaproteobacteria; Pseudomonadales; Pseudomonadaceae.